AUUCUCGUGGGGCAGAGAUUGCACUGUGAAACCCUACCGACACUACCCCGGAAGGGCCUGGCCUCCGAGGUGUCUGCAGCGUGCUGCCUUCGCCGGGGCUUUUCAGAAUGGGCCGGGGCCUCGGGGGUCUUCAUCCCCAAGGAAGCCUCUUGAUUUUUGGCACCGCCUUUGUUUUUGGGCCGGAAGCCGUUGUGCGGCUGUCUUCUGUGUUCGUGGCGGCUGUUGCCCUUUCCCAGUGGCUCGGCUUCAUUCCCACUGCCCUGCGACUUGGCAGGCCCAUUUAGCCUGUUGUUAUGAUACUGUGGAUUAAAUCUCCGUCUUUGGUUAGAAGAUCCAUUCUACCAAAAAAGAAAAGAGAUAAGUAUCAGAUGCCAGCAAGCCACUGAUGACACCAGUAGACAUCAGGAAAACCAAAUCUCUAAGCCACAGGUAAGCUUUUUUUUUUUUUUUUUUUUUUUAUACACCAGAAGAAUCAGAAAACAUGAAGAUGAGGUCAGGCAGAUAAAAUUAUUAAUCCUAAAAGAAUAGUGGACUGUUUUGUAAAUGGAACUGGAAGAAAAUGAUAUUGAAAGAGAGGUUACAGAAGUGUAAGACAGACAAUUCAAAAACUGGGUCAAAUAAAAUUCAUAAAGAUGCUUAAACUAUAGCAGAAUAAAACAGAAGCCAGGGGCAGAGUAAUGAUGAUCCUCUACUAUGGAGAUUUCUGAGACAUUCUGUAGAGACU
RNAcentral lists this long non-coding RNA (724 nucleotides) under Homo sapiens (human). RNAcentral describes it as "non-protein coding lnc-KCTD18-1:2". The record is from RNAcentral. Lineage: Eukaryota; Metazoa; Chordata; Mammalia; Primates; Hominidae.